Molecule: non-coding RNA, 486 nt
Organism: Pelobates cultripes (western spadefoot toad)
Lineage: Eukaryota; Metazoa; Chordata; Amphibia; Anura; Pelobatidae
Source: the annotation of a GenBank genome assembly
GUCUGCUUUACUAAGGGAAUCUAAUAGGGAAGCUGUUAGUUGUAUGGAAAUUGUUUAUUUUAUUUCGUCGAACGGAGAGUUAUAAUCACUGAUACUCUGGACGUUCGGUAUGAAACUAACAAAUGGUUAUUGGUUAUACCAGGUUUCCUUACAACUAUAAUUCCAACUGCAUGCUGAGUGACAUUGUAAAUCUUGCCAUGGUAACAUUUGUGGGGCAUACCUUUUUGAAUUGUGCCCAUUGCCUUUAUGUCCACAAUAUCACCCUUCUUGUAGAUGCACAUGUAUGUUGAAAGUGGAACCCCAUGUUUACGGAAGGGUCUGGCAAACAUAUAUAAUGGGUUCUACAUCCUCUUCUUCGUGUGUUCGUCAUUUUUGCAAUUUACUGCAAGAUGGCGGGUACGGUGCAAAGAGGAUACCUGUUUGAAUUUUAAUUGCUGGUUGCAUUGGUAUUUUCAACUGUACAUAAGAAAAGAACAAAACAUGUUG